Molecule: unclassified non-coding RNA, 775 nt
Filed under: Hevea brasiliensis (rubber tree)
Lineage: Eukaryota; Viridiplantae; Streptophyta; Magnoliopsida; Malpighiales; Euphorbiaceae
Source: RNAcentral
UUUGGCUUUAUUUUUCACAUUAUUCUUUAAUUUUCUAAGGUAGCUACCAAAGAUUAAAUGUAUAUUUGCUUGUAAAAUGCAUUUAUUACAUAUUUAGGCUACAAAAUAACAAUUUGUAAGAGUUACCUCUCAAGUGGAUACAUCCAUGAAUAUUAUACUAGACUUGCCAUCCAUGCUUUGUAAGCCAAAUGCACUGGCAGAUGUUCCAUUGAGUAAAAAAAGCUUAGGGGAAAUAUACACUCUGACUUACAUAUGAUUAAAGGAAUCUCUUCAUUAAGCCUCAACAUAUCAUUUUCUCUAAUUGUUGUUGAAGUUAGGUCCUAGAAGAAAUUGCUUAACUCUGUUAAUGGUUGCCAAUCAUGUACUGGUAGCAGUUCUCUGAAUACUAUGGGGAGUAAUCUUUGCAUGAAAACAUGACAGUCAUGUCUUUUCAUCCUAAAUAGCUUAAGUUUUCACAUAUCAAUGCAUCUCCCCAUGUUUGACACAUAUCCAUCUAGGAAUUUUAAAGUUUUUAGCUAUUCACACAGCAUUGAUUUUGAGUUUUUGUCAAGUGUAUAACAUGUUUUAGGAUAUUUCCUUGUCGUUUUAUUCUUUUCCAACUCAAGCCGUCUAUAAAACUCUUUCAAAUCUUCCCUUGCUUUUGUAUUGUCCUUAGUCUUUCCUUCAACAUUCAUCACUGUGUUGAAUAUAUUUUCAAACAGAUUUUUCUCGAUGUGCAUUACAUCAAGGUUAUGAUGAAGCAUAUUAGUACUCCAAUAAGGUAAAUCCUAAAAAA